Molecule: microRNA precursor, 64 nt
Organism: Bison bison bison
Lineage: Eukaryota; Metazoa; Chordata; Mammalia; Artiodactyla; Bovidae
Source: Ensembl
ACAUGACUACUGGAAAAUCCAUAGCUUUGACUAUAUAUACCUGGUUCUUCCAGUAGUCAUGUGC